This 803-nucleotide ribosomal RNA is filed under the name Bacillus subtilis. RNAcentral's name for it is "bacterial SSU rRNA". It matches the Rfam family "Bacterial small subunit ribosomal RNA", at positions 64 to 848 of the family's 1533-position model. The record is from RNAcentral. Lineage: Bacteria; Bacillati; Bacillota; Bacilli; Caryophanales; Bacillaceae.
GAGCGGACAGAUGGGAGCUUGCUCCCUGAUGUUAGCGGCGGACGGGUGAGUAACACGUGGGUAACCUGCCUGUAAGACUGGGAUAACUCCGGGAAACCGGGGCUAAUACCGGAUGGUUGUUUGAACCGCAUGGUUCAAACAUAAAAGGUGGCUUCGGCUACCACUUACAGAUGGACCCGCGGCGCAUUAGCUAGUUGGUGAGGUAACGGCUCACCAAGGCAACGAUGCGUAGCCGACCUGAGAGGGUGAUCGGCCACACUGGGACUGAGACACGGCCCAGACUCCUACGGGAGGCAGCAGUAGGGAAUCUUCCGCAAUGGACGAAAGUCUGACGGAGCAACGCCGCGUGAGUGAUGAAGGUUUUCGGAUCGUAAAGCUCUGUUGUUAGGGAAGAACAAGUACCGUUCGAAUAGGGCGGUACCUUGACGGUACCUAACCAGAAAGCCACGGCUAACUACGUGCCAGCAGCCGCGGUAAUACGUAGGUGGCAAGCGUUGUCCGGAAUUAUUGGGCGUAAAGGGCUCGCAGGCGGUUUCUUAAGUCUGAUGUGAAAGCCCCCGGCUCAACCGGGGAGGGUCAUUGGAAACUGGGGAACUUGAGUGCAGAAGAGGAGAGUGGAAUUCCACGUGUAGCGGUGAAAUGCGUAGAGAUGUGGAGGAACACCAGUGGCGAAGGCGACUCUCUGGUCUGUAACUGACGCUGAGGAGCGAAAGCGUGGGGAGCGAACAGGAUUAGAUACCCUGGUAGUCCACGCCGUAGACGAUGAGUGCUAAGUGUUAGGGGGUUUCCGCCCCUUAGUGCUG